This 270-nucleotide ribosomal RNA is filed under the name uncultured archaeon. RNAcentral describes it as "partial 16S ribosomal RNA". It matches the Rfam family "Archaeal small subunit ribosomal RNA", at positions 477 to 747 of the family's 1478-position model. The record is from RNAcentral.
CAGCACCUCAAGUGGUCAGGAUGAUUAUUGGGCCUAAAGCAUCCGUAGCCGGCGCUGUAAGUUUUCGGUUAAAUCUGUACGCUCAACGUACAGGUUGCCGGGAAUACUGCAGCGCUAGGGAGUGGGAGAGGUAGACGGUACUCGGUAGGAAGGGGUAAAAUCCUUUGAUCUAUUGAUGACCACCUGUGGCGAAGGCGGUCUACCAGAACACGUCCGACGGUGUGGGAUGAAAGCUGGGGGAGCAAACCGGAUUAGAUACCCGAGUAGUCC